UACGGAGGGUGCGAGCGUUAAUCGGAAUAACUGGGCGUAAAGGGCACGCAGGCGGGCAUUUAAGAGAGAUGUGAAAUCCCCGGGCUUAACCUGGGAAUAGCAUUUCAGACUGGGAGUCUAGAGUACUUUAGAGAGGGGUAGAAUUCCACGUGUAGCGGUGAAAUGCGUAGAGAUGUGGAGGAAUACCGAUGGCGAAGGCAGCCCCGUGGGCAUGUACUGACGCUCAUGUACGAAAGCGUGGGGAGCAAACAGG
This 253-nucleotide ribosomal RNA is filed under the name uncultured bacterium. RNAcentral describes it as "partial 16S ribosomal RNA". It matches the Rfam family "Bacterial small subunit ribosomal RNA", at positions 524 to 776 of the family's 1533-position model. The record is from RNAcentral.